Molecule: ribosomal RNA, 1677 nt
Filed under: Salmonella enterica subsp. enterica serovar Derby
Lineage: Bacteria; Pseudomonadati; Pseudomonadota; Gammaproteobacteria; Enterobacterales; Enterobacteriaceae
Description: partial 23S ribosomal RNA
Rfam family: Bacterial large subunit ribosomal RNA
Source: RNAcentral
CUGGAGGUAUCAGAAGUGCGAAUGCUGACAUAAGUAACGAUAAAGCGGGUGAAAAGCCCGCUCGCCGGAAGACCAAGGGUUCCUGUCCAACGUUAAUCGGGGCAGGGUGAGUCGACCCCUAAGGCGAGGCCGAAAGGCGUAGUCGAUGGGAAACGGGUUAAUAUUCCCGUACUUGGUGUUACUGCGAAGGGGGGACGGAGAAGGCUAUGUUGGCCGGGCGACGGUUGUCCCGGUUUAAGCGUGUAGGUGUGUGUUCCAGGUAAAUCCGGUUCACUUUAACACUGAGGCGUGACGACGAGGCACUACGGUGCUGAAGCAACAAAUGCCCUGCUUCCAGGAAAAGCCUCUAAGCAUCAGGUAACAUCAAAUCGUACCCCAAACCGACACAGGUGGUCAGGUAGAGAAUACCAAGGCGCUUGAGAGAACUCGGGUGAAGGAACUAGGCAAAAUGGUGCCGUAACUUCGGGAGAAGGCACGCUGACACGUAGGUGAAGUGAUUUACUCACGGAGCUGAAGUCAGUCGAAGAUACCAGCUGGCUGCAACUGUUUAUUAAAAACACAGCACUGUGCAAACACGAAAGUGGACGUAUACGGUGUGACGCCUGCCCGGUGCCGGAAGGUUAAUUGAUGGGGUCAGCGCAAGCGAAGCUCCUGAUCGAAGCCCCGGUAAACGGCGGCCGUAACUAUAACGGUCCUAAGGUAGCGAAAUUCCUUGUCGGGUAAGUUCCGACCUGCACGAAUGGCGUAAUGAUGGCCAGGCUGUCUCCACCCGAGACUCAGUGAAAUUGAACUCGCUGUGAAGAUGCAGUGUACCCGCGGCAAGACGGAAAGACCCCGUGAACCUUUACUAUAGCUUGACACUGAACAUUGAGCCUUGAUGUGUAGGAUAGGUGGGAGGCUUUGAAGUGUGGACGCCAGUCUGCAUGGAGCCGACCUUGAAAUACCACCCUUUAAUGUUUGAUGUUCUAACGUGGACCCGUAAUCCGGGUUGCGGACAGUGUCUGGUGGGUAGUUUGACUGGGGCGGUCUCCUCCUAAAGAGUAACGGAGGAGCACGAAGGUUGGCUAAUCCUGGUCGGACAUCAGGAGGUUAGUGCAAUGGCAUAAGCCAGCUUGACUGCGAGCGUGACGGCGCGAGCAGGUGCGAAAGCAGGUCAUAGUGAUCCGGUGGUUCUGAAUGGAAGGGCCAUCGCUCAACGGAUAAAAGGUACUCCGGGGAUAACAGGCUGAUACCGCCCAAGAGUUCAUAUCGACGGCGGUGUUUGGCACCUCGAUGUCGGCUCAUCACAUCCUGGGGCUGAAGUAGGUCCCAAGGGUAUGGCUGUUCGCCAUUUAAAGUGGUACGCGAGCUGGGUUUAGAACGUCGUGAGACAGUUCGGUCCCUAUCUGCCGUGGGCGCUGGAGAACUGAGGGGGGCUGCUCCUAGUACGAGAGGACCGGAGUGGACGCAUCACUGGUGUUCGGGUUGUCAUGCCAAUGGCACUGCCCGGUAGCUAAAUGCGGAAGAGAUAAGUGCUGAAAGCAUCUAAGCACGAAACUUGCCCCGAGAUGAGUUCUCCCUGAGACUUAGAGUCUCCUGAAGGAACGUUGAAGACGACGACGUUGAUAGGCCGGGUGUGUAAGCGCAGCGAUGCGUUGAGCUAACCGGUACUAAUGAACCGUGAGGCUUAACCUUACA